This 365-nucleotide ribosomal RNA is filed under the name Tegolophus sp. KK3. Its description in RNAcentral is "partial small subunit ribosomal RNA". The record is from RNAcentral. Lineage: Eukaryota; Metazoa; Arthropoda; Arachnida; Trombidiformes; Eriophyidae.
UUUAAUUCAAAGAGGGACGGGCGAUUUGUGCAUGCUUAUCUUGUUUUCAAUAAAGAUUUAUUUUCCUAAUUUUAGUACUAAGUUCUUUUUCUAGUUUUAUUCUUAUUUCUUUUCAUUUUUUUUUUUAUUUGUAUCCCAUAUGGUUCCCAAACAUGCCCUCUGUCUUGAUUUGUAUUUCGAUUUUUUUUUUACAUUUCUAAAGAUAAUCUCUCAAUUUUAAUUGAAUACAAUGAUAUAGAAAAUUAAAGUUAGGGUUUGCUUAAUCGUGGGUUAUCUGUCAUACUACAGGAUCCCCUAAUUAGAUUUAGCACCGCCAUUUUCUUUAAUUUUCAUUUAUUUAAUUACUUCUUUCAAUUUAUUUAAAA